UACAGAGGUCCCGAGCGUUGUUCGGAUUCAUUGGGCGUAAAGGGUGCGUAGGUGGCGCUGUAAGUGGGGUGUGAAAUCCCGGGGCUUAACUCCGGAACUGCAUUCCAUACUGCGGUGCUUGAGGACUGGAGAGGAGACUGGAAUUUACGGUGUAGCAGUGAAAUGCGUAGAGAUCGUAAGGAAGACCAGUGGCGAAGGCGGGUCUCUGGACAGUUCCUGACACUGAGGCACGAAGGCCAGAGGAGCAAACGGG
Molecule: ribosomal RNA, 253 nt
Filed under: uncultured bacterium
Lineage: Bacteria
Description: partial 16S ribosomal RNA
Rfam family: Bacterial small subunit ribosomal RNA
Source: RNAcentral